UGUAUAUGAACGCACAGCUGCUUCCAUUGC
RNAcentral lists this small RNA (30 nucleotides) under Bombyx mori (domestic silkworm). RNAcentral's name for it is "ovarian small RNA-35459". The record is from RNAcentral. Lineage: Eukaryota; Metazoa; Arthropoda; Insecta; Lepidoptera; Bombycidae.